CUUGUUUCUGUCUCUUGUUAGUUUAAGCACAGUUCAGUUUGUUGGAAUGAGUUCCAAUAAUUUUUGUGAAAAAUGAAGAAUUCUAGCAAUUCCUGUAUUGACAUUUCCUUGCAAGAAUUUAAAUGAUGAUUCAAUUAAGUAAAAUCUAAAAUUUUCCUUUGAAGUUUCAUCCUUCUCUCCUGCAGUUAGUUUAAUUUGCAUCCUUUUCUCCUGUAGUUUAGGAUUGAUCAACUCUCACACUCUGAUCACUUGACUCCAUCAGCAAGUGUCACUCACUUUUCUUACUUUCAAUAAAGGAGGGGAAAAAGAAGGAUGAAAUGUGCCACUCUAAUCUCCCUUUACAACUAUCAUCUUUUUUUUUUUCUAUUUACUCUUCCCAGGGAGAAAACAAUAUUUUAUGUUGUCAUCUUUCUCCCUGUUACAUUAUCUCUAUUUAUGAUAUUGUGACACUUGAAAAUCAUAUUACUUUCAAUUUAAUUAUUAUUUUAUUUCCAGUUUGUUGUUCUUUAAUCGUAGAGAACAAGGCUGGCUGAUACAAUAAACAAUCUUUAUCAUUUGUUUAUUUCACUCAGAUAUCACUCCACUUAAAUUCCUUUUAUAUUUUUUCCUUGAAGAGAAGUAAAGUGACAGCCUACACCAGGUUUGAAUUCUGUAUCCCCACAUUCACAUCCAAGUCUGUCUCUGUUAAUAAUCUUUUCAACAUAGUCUCAUUGAAUAAUCCUGCUACAAACUGGUCAAUUAAAUUCUCUUCUAGCACACCAUCCAAGAAUUCAUAUUUAUUAUCCUAUUGUCUUAACCUUAUGACAAAUGCAUCAACAUUUUUGUACUCAUAUUGUUUCAUUUAACAAAACUUAUAUCUUUCCACUGCUUUAUUCAAUUUAGG
RNAcentral lists this long non-coding RNA (883 nucleotides) under Androctonus crassicauda. The record is from RNAcentral. Lineage: Eukaryota; Metazoa; Arthropoda; Arachnida; Scorpiones; Buthidae.